UUGAAAACAGUUACCUUUUGAAAACCUGUCUUUUUAUACAACUAGCAGUUUAUAUCAAACUAAAUAAAUAAAAACCCAGAUUUAAAUUUUAUAACUUUAAAGAGGCCUUUUUACAUAAAAAUACCUAGAUUCGGUUACUUAUAAAUCAAAAGCUAAAAAUGAAAGCCGGUGCGGUUGUGUGGCCAUCAUCGAGUCCCUCGC
RNAcentral lists this long non-coding RNA (201 nucleotides) under Gossypium barbadense (sea-island cotton). RNAcentral's name for it is "long non-coding RNA (GBAR_LNC016936)". The record is from RNAcentral. Lineage: Eukaryota; Viridiplantae; Streptophyta; Magnoliopsida; Malvales; Malvaceae.